This 433-nucleotide ribosomal RNA is filed under the name uncultured bacterium. RNAcentral describes it as "partial 16S ribosomal RNA". It matches the Rfam family "Bacterial small subunit ribosomal RNA", at positions 29 to 507 of the family's 1533-position model. The record is from RNAcentral.
AACGAACGCUGGCGGCAUGCCUAACACAUGCAAGUCGAACGAGACCUUCGGGUCUAGUGGCGCACGGGUGCGUAACGCGUGGGAACCUGCCCUUAGGUUCGGAAUAACUCCCCGAAAGGGGUGCUAAUACCGGAUAAUGUCUUCGGACCAAAGAUCUAUCGCCUUUGGAUGGGCCCGCGUUGGAUUAGCUAGUUGGUAGGGUAAAAGCCUACCAAGGCGACGAUCCAUAGCUGGUCUGAGAGGAGGCUCAGCCACACUGGGACUGAGACACGGCCCAGAACGCUACGGAGCGGAGGAGUAGGGAAUACUAGGCGAGGGGGCCAAGUCCGAUCAAGCCAUGCCCGGUGAGUGAUGAAGGGCUUAGGGUUGCAAAGUCCCUUUACACGGGAUGAUAAUGACAGUACCGGGAGAAUAAGCUCCGGCUAACUCCGUG